This 719-nucleotide ribosomal RNA is filed under the name uncultured bacterium. Its description in RNAcentral is "bacterial SSU rRNA". It matches the Rfam family "Bacterial small subunit ribosomal RNA", at positions 94 to 801 of the family's 1533-position model. The record is from RNAcentral.
AGUAGCGAACGGGUGAGUAACGCGUGGGUAACCUGCCUUAUAGCGGGGGAUAACUAUUGGAAACGAUAGCUAAUACCGCAUAACAAUAGAGAUUGCAUAAUCUUUAUUUGAAAGUGCCAACUGGUACACUAUGAGAUGGACCCGCGUUGUAUUAGCUAGUUGGUAGUGUAAUGGACUACCAAGGCGAUGAUACAUAGCCGACCUGAGAGGGUGAUCGGCCACAUUGGGACUGAGACACGGCCCAAACUCCUACGGGAGGCAGCAGUAGGGAAUCUUCGGCAAUGGACGAAAGUCUGACCGAGCAACGCCGCGUGAGUGAAGAAGGUUUUCGGAUCGUAAAACUCUGUUGUUAGAGAAGAAUGUUGAUUAGAGUGGAAAAUUAAUCAAGUGACGGUAUCUAACCAGAAAGGGACGGCUAACUACGUGCCAGCAGCCGCGGUAAUACGUAGGUCCCGAGCGUUGUCCGGAUUUAUUGGGCGUAAAGCGAGCGCAGGUGGUUUAAUAAGUCUGAUGUAAAAGGCAGUGGCUCAACCAUUGUGUGCAUUGGAAACUGUUAGACUUGAGUGCAGUAGAGGAGAGUGGAAUUCCAUGUGUAGCGGUGAAAUGCGUAGAUAUAUGGAGGAACACCGGUGGCGAAAGCGGCUCUCUGGACUGUCACUGACACUGAGGCUCGAAAGCGUGGGUAGCAAACAGGAUUAGAUACCCUGGUAGUCCACGCC